Molecule: long non-coding RNA, 682 nt
Organism: Mesocricetus auratus (golden hamster)
Lineage: Eukaryota; Metazoa; Chordata; Mammalia; Rodentia; Cricetidae
Exons: 3
Source: RefSeq, a predicted model, not a curated record
CAGGGAGGGGCUGCUCUACUCCCACUUGUGUACUCUGUGGUUAGGAAAUCCUCCUCGAAUCGGGCAAAACCCCUGACAGGGCAGCCUGUGCUCACUUCCUCCUGGUGGCCAGUGCCAACCGGAAACUGCUCGCCCUUCCAGUUAGACACACUCCUUCGGCUAGAGCAGCCCGGAGCCAGCUCGGGAGUCAGGACUAUCCUUCUGAGUCACAUCGGCAGCCUCUCUGUAAGGAGCCCGUUGUGGGACGCUGGCUGCUGCCUGGACAUCACAAAACACACUCCAGCCAUCCUGAUCCUCGACAGACGCCCCAAAGCCGAGAGAGUUUCAAAUGACAUCGCUGCCCUGCGCUGAAGCUGCACACAGCCCCUUACAGGUUCUCCUGCAGCACGCUUCCCAUCGGCCCCCUUUUCACCUCCUCUGGACCCCUGUACUUAAGGAUUGAACUGAUCGCUGGCAGGGGAACCAGUAUUUAUCCCUAAGGCAUGAAUGUGCUUUGGGAGCCCAUUCCCUAUGGAGGGAUGCCCUCUCAGCCCAGGUACAGGGAAUGGGGGGAGGAGCUAGGACAUGCCCUAAAUGAUGUGACAGACUUUGAUGAUCCCCAUGGGAGGCCUCACCCUCUCUGAGGAGUUGAUGGGGAGAUGGUGGAGGGGAAUGGGAGGAUGAGAUGGGGAGGGAACUGAGA